Erigeron canadensis is the source of this 853-nucleotide long non-coding RNA. RefSeq lists it as uncharacterized. The record is from RefSeq and is a predicted model, not a curated record. Lineage: Eukaryota; Viridiplantae; Streptophyta; Magnoliopsida; Asterales; Asteraceae. The transcript is spliced from 5 exons.
CGGACCCCAUUGCAACGAUAAAAUGUACAAAACAACAUGCGAAAGGAGUUAGGAGCAAUAAAAAUCGCGUGUGCGUGUAUGAACAGGAAUCUCCAACCCAGUAAUCGAUAGGUAUAUUAAAAUUAAGUAAUCGAUAGGGAUUAUCAAAUUAGGGUUCGAAGAAUGGGUCGCACGUUACGGAGCGGGUAAGCUUAUCGAUCUAAGCAGGGUAUUCCGGUAGAUCCAUCAAGAUUCAUAAAUAACGGCCCGAAGAUCCGAUCUCGGGAGCUUGAGGAAAAGUUUACCAAGAUGCAUCUUGCACCAUCACCCCAAAGUGAAACCGGUUGCUGCACCUCUAGUACUUCCAUGGGAGCUAGUUCAGCAUAUCAAGAAAGCAGCUGUUGUCAUUAAGCAUUUGGAGAAGAAUAAGGAUGACAAGUUUGCCCAGUUACGCUUGAAAUCGACCGAGUCAGGUAUUAACAAGCUUGUUAACUACCUCAGGGGAACCGAGUAACUGGCAAGUGACUGGAAAUACGACAGAGCCACUGCCAUCAGCCUUCUGGCGUAGAGAAGAUUUACUUGUGUGGAGGCUUGGAUUGAGUCCUAUUUUUGGCGAGUGUCUCUUUAUGUUGCUGUUCACUAGCAUGGGUUUCUUUAAUUACCAUAUGUGCAUUCUGCUCAUAUAAGCCAGAUUUCUUGAAUGUCCAUUAUGCCAGAGAAGAUAGUUCAUAGUAUAGCUAGGAUGGUUUUCUUUUAUUACUAUAUAUGUGGCAUACUGCUCAUAUAAGCCAGAUUUCUUGAAUGUCCGUUGUGUUGUACUCGUGCCUUACAAACUAUGUUUUUGUAUAUAUGAAUAAAAUGCAUGUUCCUUUAA